GAAGAUAUAGCUCAGUGGUAGAGCGCAUGCUUACCAUGCAUGAGGUCCUGGGUUCAAUCCCUAGCACGUCCA
Molecule: transfer RNA, 72 nt
Filed under: Camelus bactrianus (Bactrian camel)
Lineage: Eukaryota; Metazoa; Chordata; Mammalia; Artiodactyla; Camelidae
Also listed under: 1 other name
Rfam family: tRNA
About the family: Transfer RNA (tRNA) molecules are approximately 80 nucleotides in length. Their secondary structure includes four short double-helical elements and three loops (D, anti-codon, and T loops).
Source: Rfam by way of RNAcentral